UUCAGUCUUUGUGUCUCUGCACCAGACAGAACUGUUCCGGUUGUUUCUUUGUUGUUUUGUUAUUCAGUGUUCAGUUUUCACUAAAUAAGAUGAACUCUUACAACGCUGUGCUUUGGUCCUCAACUUCUUCCACCGACAACACCUGUUACAAGAGUGCAAAGGACACGAACAAACUAAGUCCCCUCCUGUUCCCUGAUUUAAGAGGUGAUGACGAGUCAACUUUCUCCUGACGUGAACUGACGCCAAGACGUCUCAUGUGUCCGCUCAUCCACUGGCACAUUGAAUGUUUCCCUUCCAAGCACUUCAAAUCCUGUCCUGCACUGGUCAAGCCUCUGAACACCUCAACUCAUGUCUCAUACCCUCAUUCGAUCCCUGCUGUGAUCCCUUUCCCACAUGGUGGAAGUAGCACCCUCCUUCCCCUUCCCCGUGAUAUUGUACUAUACAUGUCUUUAUUAAAUGCUUUAGGUUAA
This is a long non-coding RNA of Oncorhynchus keta (chum salmon), 470 nucleotides long. RefSeq lists it as uncharacterized. The record is from RefSeq and is a predicted model, not a curated record. NCBI's taxonomy places the organism in Eukaryota, Metazoa, Chordata, Actinopteri, Salmoniformes, Salmonidae. The transcript has 3 exons.